RNAcentral lists this transfer RNA (88 nucleotides) under Nocardiopsis sp. MG754419. RNAcentral describes it as "tRNA-Ser". It matches the Rfam family "tRNA". Rfam says of the family: Transfer RNA (tRNA) molecules are approximately 80 nucleotides in length. Their secondary structure includes four short double-helical elements and three loops (D, anti-codon, and T loops). RNAcentral also lists the same sequence under 4 other names. Lineage: Bacteria; Bacillati; Actinomycetota; Actinomycetes; Streptosporangiales; Nocardiopsidaceae. The record is from RNAcentral.
GGAGGAUUCGCCUAGUGGCCUAGGGCGCACGCUUGGAAAGCGUGUUGGGUGCAAGCCCUCAGGGGUUCGAAUCCCCUAUCCUCCGCCA